RNAcentral lists this small RNA (735 nucleotides) under Pongo abelii (Sumatran orangutan). RNAcentral's name for it is "retained intron". The record is from RNAcentral. Lineage: Eukaryota; Metazoa; Chordata; Mammalia; Primates; Hominidae.
GCACAGGAGUACCUGGAGGUGCAGAGGCAGCUGGCCAUCCAGCGCCUGCAGGAGCAGGAGAAGGAGCGGCAGCUGCGGCUGGAGCAGCAGAAGCAGACGGUCCAGAUGCGCGCGCAGAUGCCCGCCUUCCCCCUGCCCUACGCCCAGGCAUGUGCCGUCUUCCCGCCACCCAGAGGCUCGUGGGCUGAGGACCAGCUCUCACCACCAUCUCCUUCGUCCCCAGCUCCAGGCCAUGCCUGCGGCCGGAGGCGUGCUCUACCAGCCCUCGGGACCAGCCAGCUUCCCCAGCACCUUCAGCCCCGCCGGCUCAGUGGAGGGCUCCCCCAUGCACAGCGUGUACAUGAGCCAGCCGGCCCCUGCUGCUGGCCCCUACCCCAGCAUGCCCGGCACCGCUGCUGAUCCCAGCAUGGUGAGUGCCUACAUGUACCCAGCAGGGGCCACUGGGGCGCAGGCGGCCCCCCAGGCCCAGGCCGGACCCACCGCCAGCCCCGCUUACUCAUCCUACCAGCCUACUCCCACAGCGGGCUACCAGAACGUGGCCUCCCAGGCCCCACAGAGCCUCCCGGCCAUCUCUCAGCCUCCGCAGUCCAGCACCAUGGGCUACAUGGGGAGCCAGUCAGUCUCCAUGGGCUACCAGCCUUACAACAUGCAGAAUCUCAUGGCCACCCUCCCGAGCCAGGACGCGUCUCUGCCGCCCCAGCAGCCCUACAUCGCGGGGCAGCAGCCCGUGUACCA